CAGGAACAUCGCAGAAAUGAUGUGACUUCGAGCCAUGAUAAGAAAUUGGACUCGAAUAAUGUAAUACCCUUUUAUAUGCAGAAAUGAUGUAUUUCUUUGCGCAAAAUCCACGUCUCGACGAAUCUUCAAACAUUGAUAUGUCUCGUUUUGGCAAUUAUUGGUUUUGAAUAUGUCGCACGAUUACGAUUGCAGUACCAAUGCGAUAAUAUAAGCAAGAUUGUCUUAAUCGGUCUCACGUACGAUGAUCUCAUAUUUCGGCGUGUCCUUGAAAUACGUAUGAACGAAAUGCAAUCGAAUUGAAUUUAAGUGUUAAGUAAUUUUUACAGAGCUACGCAUUAAUAUGUGAGGAUCUGUAUGCGACGUUGCAUUACGGAAAUAUCGAAAUUCGUUUAGUCUCAAACUGCAUUUGUAUCAUUGUCAUCGAAUACCUCAGUAUUGUUAUCGUGAUAACAAGGCCAUAAAUGAAGGCAAUAAUGUGGAAAAUGUCGAAAUGCAACAAAUGACAAUCAAUAGUCGAACAAAAAUAAUUUGAUGACAUGAAUAACUUCUACUGUGGCUGUAAAGUCACAUUAAUUUGGAAUCAACGAUUUAAUCGAUUUGUUUAUUCAUUUUUAGUAUCUUCGAGAGUAUUGUUUGUAUAAUACUAUACUUAUUCGCGUUUAGCAAUUAAUUAU
This is a long non-coding RNA of Acromyrmex echinatior (Panamanian leafcutter ant), 674 nucleotides long. NCBI's taxonomy places the organism in Eukaryota, Metazoa, Arthropoda, Insecta, Hymenoptera, Formicidae. The record is from RefSeq and is a predicted model, not a curated record.